This 1674-nucleotide long non-coding RNA is filed under the name Zonotrichia albicollis (white-throated sparrow). RNAcentral describes it as "lncRNA (ENSZALG00000009375.1)". The record is from RNAcentral. Lineage: Eukaryota; Metazoa; Chordata; Aves; Passeriformes; Passerellidae.
CUGGGAUUCACCAGGAUUCACUGGGAUGUGCUGGGAUUCACUGGGAUGUACUGGAAUUCACCAGGAUUCACUGGGAUGCACUGGGAUUCACCAGGAUGCACUGGGAUGUGCUGGGAUUCACCUUGGGAUGAUCCCAGUCCUCUCCACAUCCCUGGGAUGAUCCCAGUCCUCCCUGAAUCCCUUUUCUUCCUUCCAGACUGUUGGAUUUGGGAUCGAUGGAUCCAUUUGUGGCUCCAAAAUUGUUUUGGGGGUGGUUUUGGGGUGUUCCUGUGGUGUUUUGAGGUGUUCCUGUGGUGUUUCUGUGGUGUUUUUGGGGAUGUUCCUGUAGCGCUUUUGGGGGUGUUUCUCUGGUGUUUUUGGCUGUUUCUGUGAUGUUUUUUGGGGUGUUUUGGAGGUGUUUCUGUGCUGUUUUUGUGUUGGUUUUAGGCCUCCACCCCCUCCUGUCCCCAGGUGGGUGGCAGGAGGAAGCCGAGAUUUGCAUAGGACACGGGUGGUGGCAUCGGGGACAGGAUGACACCACCUCCAAUGUCCCCCGAGGGGUGGCCCUGACCCCCAAAACCCCGGCCCUGGGGGCUUUGGGACAUUCCCCAAGUCUGGGUGUGGGUGUGACACGGGGACAGGGACAGGAGGUGGGGUCUGGAGCUGCUUGGGGACAUUGUGGGGACAUUGUGGGGUCCCAUGGGGCCAGGAGUCAGGAUCUCUUUAAAAGGGGGGGGGUCUCAGGUGGGAUCCUGAGAGGAGGAAGGGAGGAUGGGGAUGCUCAAGGAGCCCCCAGGAUCCCAUCCCUGGCCAUGGGGAGCCAGGGAUCUGCCAUGGGAUCCUGCCGGGUUUCCUGGGAUCAGGGAGGCUCCAGAGCCCCCUUUAACCAUGGGAACAUUAAAAUUCCCAUUAAAAUUCCCACUAAAAUUCCCAUUAAAAUUCCCUCUAAAAUCCCCAUUAAAAUCAGCCCCUGCGAUCCCACAGGAUUCUGCCCAGUUUCCCGGGAUCAGGAAGGCUCCAGAGCCCCUUUUAACCAUGGGAACAUUAAAAUUCCCAUUAAAAUUCCCACUAAAAUUCCCAUUAAAAUUCCCAUUAAAAUCAGCCCCUGGGAUCCCACAGGAUCCUGCCAGGUUUCCCGGGAUCAGGAAGGCUCCAGAGCUCCCUUUAACCAUGGGAACAUUAAAAUUCCCAUUAAAAUUCCCACUAAAAUUCCCAUUAAAAUCCCCAUUAAAAUCGGCCCCUGGGAUCCCACAGGAUCCUGCCGAGUUUCCUGCGAUCAGGAAGGCUCCAGAGCCCCCUUUAACCAUGGGAACAUUAAAAUCCCCAUUAAAAUUCCCUCUAAAAUUCCCAUUAAAAUCAGCCCCUGGGAUCCCACAGGAUCCUGCCAGGUUUCCCGGGAUCAGGGAGGCUCCAGAGCCCCCUUUAACCAUGGGAACAUUAAAAUCCCCAUUAAAAUUCCCACUAAAAUUCCCACUAAAAUCCCCAUUAAAAUCAGCCCCUGCGAUCCCACAGGAUCCUGCCGGAUUUCCCGGGAUCAGGGAGGCUCCAGAGCCCCCUUUAACCAUGGGAACAUUAAAAUUCCCAUUAAAGUUCCCUUUAAAAUUCCCACUAAAACCCCCAUUAAAUUCCCAGUAAAUUCCCAUUAAUUCCCCAUUAAAUUCCCAAUAAAUCCCUGUAUCAAGAAGCUCUGACCCA